This 455-nucleotide ribosomal RNA is filed under the name uncultured Eubacteriales bacterium. Its description in RNAcentral is "bacterial SSU rRNA". It matches the Rfam family "Bacterial small subunit ribosomal RNA", at positions 917 to 1370 of the family's 1533-position model. Lineage: Bacteria; Bacillati; Bacillota; Clostridia; Eubacteriales. The record is from RNAcentral.
GGACCCGCACAAGCGGUGGAGCAUGUGGUUUAAUUCGAAGCAACGCGAAGAACCUUACCUGGUCUUGACAUCCUUCUGACAAAGUAUGUAAUGUACUCUUCCUUCGGGACAGAAGUGACAGGUGGUGCAUGGUUGUCGUCAGCUCGUGUCGUGAGAUGUUGGGUUAAGUCCCGCAACGAGCGCAACCCUUAUCUUUAGUAGCCAGCAGUUCGGCUGGGCACUCUAGAGAGACUGCCAGGGGAUAACCUGGAGGAAGGUGGGGAUGACGUCAAAUCAUCAUGCCCCUUAUGAUCAGGGCUACACACGUGCUACAAUGGCGUAAACAAAGGGAAGCAAUCACGUGAGUGUGAGCAAAUCUCAAAAAUAACGUCUCAGUUCGGAUUGUAGUCUGCAACUCGACUACAUGAAGCUGGGAAUCGCUAGUAAUCGCGAAUCAGAAUGUCGCGGUGAAUACG